CCGGAAGUAAACACACAGCCUUGCCUCCGAUAUUUUCCCUGCCUCGCCUGGCCUGCCCUCCUCGCCCGGCUACGGCAACCCGGAAGUGACCGCGUUGCUGGGGAAGAUGGGAAAUGUAGUCCAGCGGCAAGCCUUAGGGGCAAGGAGCGGCGGGAGGCGCUAGGAGGGGGAGAGCGGAAAGAAAUGGCUCCAACAGUAAUGGAGGGACCUGACUGAGACUGGCCAAACUGAGAGAGUGACUUCUGCUGUCCUGCUGCAGUCCUGCUAAACUCCCCCCCCCCCCGCACCACCACCACCACCACCACCACCACCACUCCUUGUGAGGGAAGCUCGCAUUACAGUCCUGAGAAUGACUGCAAGCAAUAUAAAUGGAGUUCUGCUUAUAUACCUUGCAGGUGUAUAAAGGCACUAAGAACCUUCUACCAGGGCCUAUGGCAUGUGUUGCCAUCUUUUUAAAAUCUUCUCUUCAAGCAUGAAGAUUAAACAAAUGAACAGACAAA
Molecule: long non-coding RNA, 500 nt
Organism: Varanus komodoensis (Komodo dragon)
Lineage: Eukaryota; Metazoa; Chordata; Lepidosauria; Squamata; Varanidae
Exons: 2
Source: RefSeq, a predicted model, not a curated record